RNAcentral lists this ribosomal RNA (4945 nucleotides) under Triticum aestivum (bread wheat). Its description in RNAcentral is "partial small subunit ribosomal RNA". Lineage: Eukaryota; Viridiplantae; Streptophyta; Magnoliopsida; Poales; Poaceae. The record is from RNAcentral.
CAAAUGGAAACCUGUUAGGAGAGGAGCGCGCGUCGCACGAAGGUCACCCAGCACCUUGGGAUCUGGGGAAAGGGGUUAGGGUGCCGGCGGAGGUAGGAGGGCACGAGGUGGGGCUCGCACGGGCCCGAGGAGGAGGAGGAGGAGGAGGAGGAGGUGGUGGUAGGGAAGAGAAGAGUGAGAAGGAGGACAGCGUUGGCGGAGGAGAAGAGGGAUAGAAGGAGGAGGAGCGGGGUGCGCUGGGGAGAACACGGCGAGCAGAGGUGAAGCAACGGCGGUAUCUAGCUCCUCCUGCCGCGCUACUGCUGGUACUACGUAAUCUGUAGGGUCUAGCUGCUGCGGUACCUUCGGUACUCUCGACCGGCUCCUUCUCCCCCGUCCCGGCGUCCGGUACUUCCCGUACCGCCGACGCCCGCCUUCGUCGUACCCAACUUCCUCGCCGCCUACACCCGUCCCAGUAUCCAACCCCUUGUGAGCAGCCGACCCGCUGUCGUUCGCGGCCACUCACGUUCGUACGCAAAGGUCUUCGCAGGAGAGGAUGUUCCGUCCGUUCCUGCUGCAGCAGCGGGAGCGUCCAAGAUGCUAGACAACGUAUAGAAAAGAAGAGCAAUUCCUCUCCCCUCCGCCGGUUACUGUCCCUCUUCCUCGUCCAGCAGCUCCUCACGUUCGUCUUCCAAAGGCCACUGACCUUCAGGCUUUGACUACUGUCCCGUAUAACAAAACCAAUACUCACCAACCUCUAUAACACCGAACUACAGGGACCUCGUCAGUCUGGGAAGGUUCUAUCCAGCUCGCUGCCACUCGUGUAGGCUGCGGUUGUGUGGUUCGUUUUUUCUUCGUCCUCGUUUUGCUUUCACUCGUGGUAUCUUUCCUACUAAUAUUCGUUCGCUGUUCUUGUUCGGUUACCCGUACCGUAAAAGUUCGCAGUUCUUGUUCGGCUGCCCGUACCGUAAAAUACGUUUUACUCGUCUCUCUGGUCCGCACCCUGACCACGAACCAUCGUCGUCACUAAGGAAGUCCGUAAAGCUAAGGUCAUUGGUGUUCAAGAUCCCUUCUACAUACAAAGGAUGUUUCCCAAACUCAAACUCUCCGUGUUUUCUUCAAUGUUCACAACGUCGAAUAAACCGAAAUAUCACUGUACAUAGCUGUUUGCUAACAAUAUAAGUCAUACGAUCCGACACAGGAUAAAUAGUACGUCUAAGACAUAAUCCACGAGCUAUCUCCAAAAACACCAGCACAGUAUGUGGUUAAUGGCAGCUCUACCCAUUACCAUACCCUUACCCCGAGGUUCCUACACUUUUACCAGCCCUUCUGUCUCAAUCGUCGCUGUACACAGGAGUUCAUUAAAGAACGGUUUCCACUACAGUUCCAAUCGAUGACACUAGUUCCUUUAUUGUACAUAGACACACCAAACAAGAACGACAACUAGCCGGCAACGACACAAAUUCCAUACAACACGGGCCACGAUGAAUUACGAUAUAUUUUGGAUAUCGAUAUGUAUUUUGCGGAACUAUACGUUUAUUGGGUCAAUUUUAUUUACCCAACGCGGUAGAUCGUAAUGUACUGCUGUACGGUUUGUGAAACGGUGGAUCCUAUCAGAUAUAAACAUAAAGUAAGACAAUAGAGUAUAAAGGUCAUUUUUUUUGAGAAGCGAAACCCCAAAACCUUAUUAAAAGUCCUUCAACCACUGCUCAAUCAUCUUGAAUAUCUUUACAGCGAAAGUAAUCUGUUACUGUACGGUUUCUGCGGUGACGGAUUCCAUCAGAAACCUGAAUUCGAUAGAGUAUACAUGUUAUUGUUCUAAACAGCGAAGUCAAAAAUCUUAUUAGUAACUAUUCAACCAAUUCUUAAUCUCGAUUUCAAUGCGAGUACUCAUCAUAAACAACAUGUUUGUAGGUCAAUUAAGAACUCUAUGUUAUCUCUGUGAUAUAAACAUCGCUGGGCUGGAGUCUGCCAGUUCAGAGACACGAAUUCACAGUAGGGACCUAGCCAUACGACUGUGUAUGUCAUGAGCUCCUAAAUAUUAUCUCCAUUUAGUGUACAUAUUUCAUUGCAUUUUAUGAUAAUGGAGUUAGGUUUAUCGCCUUCAUUGUCCCAACACCUAAGGGUAGUUGUGGUUGCCGUUUCAACUCACAUCUUUAACAUUGGGAUUGCAUAGUGAAUGAGCAGCAUUCUUCAGGACAUUGUACUCUGCAACGUCGGUGUUUCCCAGUCAUGUAACUUACAUGAUCGUUUAAGUGUGGUAUCUCUUUACUACUUGUUACCGAUAGUGAUGUACGUAUAUACCGAUCACCUUUUCGAGAUACCAAUAUUCCAAAAACGCUUUUCAGUUAAAAAGGGAUGACGUUUCCUUAUUUAAAAUAAAUUGAUAGUACCACCAACAAUUGUAACUCUCACAUCUGUGGGAUAGUUAGGGUUAAUUCGUAGUGGUAAUUUUGGGUUGUUCUAAUUAAUUUCAGUGUACUACUCUAAGUGUACUAUUAGGUUCAUGAUCUAUGAGUUCUGCAGGUAUUGGCCCCUGUGCCGAUUAGUACUAAUCAAAUAUGUGAGACGUCUCCAAACGCGUGAAAAGGGGUGUUCUGAGCUAGAGGAGGCAACCUAAAGAGCGUGAUGUACCACAAACUCUUUGCCUACUGGCUCUGUCAGAAAGUCUUCGGAAACGUGGAAUGCUACCCAUCUGGCAUGGUGGAUGAUGGGGAUGUAGACGAUCAGAUGGUGACAUUCUCAAGUGUGCUGAAUUAGUUGAUACGAUCUCGGGUAUUAUCGAACACCUACGUGUGCCUUCAAAGAUCAUACUUAUUAGAGUACUAGGGAAACUCGGACCCACCGCCAAGUAUUUUUUUUGUCCGUUAGCGACCUUAUGGGUCCACGGAUUUGUCCGUUAGCGACCUUAUGGGUCCACGGAGUUAGGUAGGUCUACACACAAUUUCAACAGUGGAAUUCAUUUGGUAAUUAAUUGUUAGAGUGUAGACAGUACUUAUGAGAGUUUGGGUUAGGUGUAGAUACUCGUAUCGUAUCGUCAUAUUCGUAUUGCAUUAUCAUUGAGGAUUCCAAACUUACGUCCCGUUAUCCAAGGAUGGAGUAGUUGAUGAAGGGUUAUGGGUGUACAAUAGUUAGGAUGAGUACGUUACAAACUCCAACUUUGAUUACGUAUUUUUGAUCCAUACUUUCCUUAUACUAGUUUCACACUUGAACGGACGUUACAACUACUUCUACUAAGCGUGAGUUUUGAGGACUACCAAGAUGAACAGUGUGAGGCCAGUUAGAUAGCAUUCGUUCGUUAUCAUUGGUGUGUAUUCGUUAGUGAGUUUUCUAGUAUUUCUUGCUUCUUCUGUUAAGCCUUUUGUAGUUUUAGUUCGUUUAGUGAAAACGUUGUAUUUUAUUAAAGAUUGUCAUGGUUUUAAUUCACUUAAACCGGAAUAGUCUUUCAAAUCCAGUUCUCGAAGCUAAACGUUUUUCUUAGUUGAGUUUGUUAGUUAGUUUAGAUAGAUAAAUAUAUUGUAAGGUUUUAAAUCCUAAAACCCUACAAUGUUAUAAUCAUGAUGAAAUCAGUUUAUGUAACAGGUGAUCAACAACAUCACUUUACAUCGAGAUCGAUAAUUAAAUGUCUUAACAGCUUUUAUCGGGGAUGUCUUAAUGUUUCUCGCUCUUAUUCCUUCAACCGUUUGAAUCACGAAGUACAAUAAAGUCAUCUUUCCUUUAUCUUCUCUUAAGAGACAGAUUCUCCCUACCGUAACUAAAUUUCUUUCUCUGAAUGGAAGCCUUUAGUAUAACGUGAAUAGAUGUUCUAAACCCCUACGCCGAGUUUCACAUUCUAUAAAAUACAGGAAGAUACGUAAAUAGCUAUAACAUCGGACAACCACUGACAGGGAAUGAAUAGGUUUUUGUAACUCAAGACGAUGAAUGGGUUGGUCUACAAUUUAUAAAGUUUUACGUAGAAAUAUAACAGUAACAUAGCAUUAACGAAGAGGACUACACAAAAACAAAAUGUGGUCGUAUAUAAACCAGGUCUCUAUAAGUUAACAAACAGACUAUUCUAUUAUAAAAUGAAGAAAUACCUCGUGAGAAUACCGUUCGUGUAAAAAGACCUACUUGACGACCAACCAAAAAAGAGGUAUUUAUGCUAUUUAAUAGUAUAGUAUACUUUACAAUUCUAUAUGACUUUUAUACGGGACAUACUACCACCAGACCGUAAAAUCUUAACAAAACCCGUUAAGUACAAACAUACGUAAAAAAGAAAACCGGGAACUUCCGUAGAAAUUAUCAAACGUUAACGCUAUCUUUAACAACACGAGCAUAGAAAUCAAAAAUAAUGUUAACCAGCUCGAUGUUGCUCACGCAGACUAAGGUUGAGUAGUUCCACUCGAGGGAAAAAAUAAGAAGAGUCCAUUACUCCGCAGUCACAUCCGGGUUAGAAAAACAAACAACGAAACUUCUCACAACAGUACAACACCUUUCCGUUGUACACGAACUAUACACCUCAACCACAACUCGGACCGCCAUCAUCUGUCCCUUCCGUGGGUAGAGUGAACUAGAACUCUCAACUAAGUAUAGAAAAAAAGAACUGGACUAACUCAAGGACAUAUACGUUCCUAUUUCUUCUUCCCCGUAACAGCACCAACAACGAAUUCCACAACCAGUCCUCGACUAACAGCCCUGACUACUGUUCUUGCCUCUCGUCCUACUCAUACAGUUGUACUACAAGGAACUACAACCGGAAGAAAAUAUUUCAAGUGUACGUUGAGAGGAGGUACCAAUCUUUUUUGAUUAAAUUUACAAAACAAAGAAACCACCAAUGAGUGAAGAGAAUGGCAACAACAUAGUUUUGUUAACAUAAAAGCAACUAUCGGUGAACCCGAGUAAAAGCUCCUCUUACUCUACACCUUAUUUGAUGAGAUUUUACCAACCAAGGGAAGUUUGUCAAAUAAUCGAUUGAUUAAAACCGACG